UAUGAGCAGGCCAACUGCAAGGUUGGGGCCACCAGGAAAUGACAAGUGGUAGGCCCAGUCUUUCCAGGCUGGGGCACAUCCCCGCAGCUGUGAUGAAUAAGCUCAGCCUCCUUUGGUCAGAACCAACCUGUCAGUCCUUGAUAAAGAACUCACCAAACAUUGUGCUAAUAUGAACAAGGAUAAACGGGAUAGGGUUUCAGCUCCAUUUGCAACACACUGCCUGGGAGUAAUCUGAACAGGCAAGGUGAGGAGACAGGCCCCGAAGAACAGCAGUGCCCUGCAUGCCCUUCCUGCUGUCUCCAGGGAUUUUCCAGCUUAUCCACUUCAUUUUCUGAAAGUAAUCAGCCCUGAAUAUCUCGGCAACAAGGCACUCCUUGGGGAAGUAAUGACUGGGAGGCAGUCUGGUGAAUCCACUCUUCUCAAGCCCAGAGCAGACAUCAGGGGGCCACACGGAUGGACCUUGAAAGCCAUUUGGAGAAGUUGGGUGUGUGUUACUUAGGAUCAACAUGCUUGCUUAAGGGAGAAGCCCUGGCAGAGGGAGAUGCUUCUUUUGGGCCUCCCAGCAUUAAAAAGGGGAUUCUUCUUGAUGCAGUCUACCUAUGUGGCCCAGUAAAUGAAGGCAGGGCAAAGCCAACUUCCUGAGAAGACCCAAAAUAAGAUGGAUGUCCGUGACUGUGCCUUGAUCUCAUGUCAUUCCCUCUUAUGCAAGAGGGAAGUGCUGUCCAGAUGCCUUCAGACACCAGGCAACACCCUACCUUCUCCCCUUCUGCGGUUGAAAUGUUGCGAACUCCUACUGUCAUUCAGCAUUCCCCCCUGGAGCCAGAGUGGUCCAGUUCAAACCUAAGCUCCAUUUUCUUUAUGUGUCUGACUCCCCAGCCGAACUCCAAGCCCUUAGAAGGAACUGACUACAUUCCAUUCUUCUUUGAAUCCCCUGUAGCGAGCACAGUGCCUGGCACAGGGGGGAUCCUCAAUAAACACCUAGUGACUGAGUAACUAGGAAGCUAAGAGCCUCAACUCUGGAAUCAAGCUGCCUGGAUUUGAAUCUUGAUCCUACUAUGUAUUGACUAUGUGACCUUGGGCAAGUUUCCUAACUUCUCUGUGUCUCAAUUUCUUCAUCUUUAAGAAAGGAUAAUAGCACUUGUCUCCUAGAAUGGAUGUGAGGGUGAAAUGAGUCCACGUAUGUAUAAUGUUGAGAAUGGUGACUGGCACGGAGACGGUGCUCAAUAAAAGUCAGCAAUUAGUACUUUGAGCA
RNAcentral lists this long non-coding RNA (1252 nucleotides) under Vulpes vulpes (red fox). RNAcentral's name for it is "lncRNA (ENSVVUG00000003004.1)". The record is from RNAcentral. Lineage: Eukaryota; Metazoa; Chordata; Mammalia; Carnivora; Canidae.